This is a non-coding RNA of Paramuricea clavata, 111 nucleotides long. The record is from the annotation of a GenBank genome assembly. Lineage: Eukaryota; Metazoa; Cnidaria; Anthozoa; Malacalcyonacea; Plexauridae.
GACGUCGAAUAUCGACGUCAUAAACACCAAAGUUGACCGUGUUUAUGACGUCGAAUAUCGACGUCAUAAACACCAAAGUUGAUCGUGUUUAUGACGUCGAAUAUCGACGUC